CUCAGGGGUUGCCUGGGAGUGUGUGUUUCUGUGCCACCGCUGUAGGACUGUGUGUGUGUGUGUGUGUGUGUGUGUGUGUCUCCCAUUCUCUCUUCUCUCUCUGUCUCUCACCCUCUGUGUGUUUCUUUCCCUCUCUCUGUCGGUCUCUGUGUGUGUGUGUUUUUCUGUGUGACUCUGUGUGUGUGUGUGUGUGUGUGUGUGUGUGUGUGUGUGUGUGUGUGUGUGUGUGACUCUGUGUGUGUGUGUGUGUGUGUGUGUGUGUGUGUCGGUGUGUGUCUGUGUGUGUGUCUCCCAUGAUCUCUUCUCUCUCUGUCUCUCAGUCUCUGUGUGUUUCUUUCCCUCUCUCUAUUGGUUUGUGUGUGUGUGCCCGUCUGCUUGUGUGUCUUUGGACAAAUGUGCCCUGUGCGCCACAAAGCGGUUUCUCGCAUGGCGGCCUGUCUUUGGUGAGCCUCUUUCUGGGUCUCUGCCUGGGUUAUGAGGCUGGUUGUAAAUUGUUUUCACUGUCGCGGAACCGCUUUGGGUGUGUGAAGACCUGGCCCACGUGAGGAGAUGCGACGGUCCCGGAGCAAUUGAAAUCUCAUCCCAAUCCUGAGUGGCCUCUUUUCUAGCAUCAAGAUGAAAAC
RNAcentral lists this long non-coding RNA (623 nucleotides) under Homo sapiens (human). Its description in RNAcentral is "HSALNT0400390". The record is from RNAcentral. Lineage: Eukaryota; Metazoa; Chordata; Mammalia; Primates; Hominidae.